This 378-nucleotide unclassified non-coding RNA is filed under the name plant metagenome. RNAcentral describes it as "partial contains 5.8S ribosomal RNA, internal transcribed spacer 2, and large subunit ribosomal RNA". The stretch from base 1 to 105 matches the Rfam family "5.8S ribosomal RNA", at positions 50 to 154 of the family's 154-position model. The record is from RNAcentral.
GAAAUGCGAUAAGUAGUGUGAAUUGCAGAAUUCAGUGAAUCAUCGAAUCUUUGAACGCACCUUGCGCUCCUUGGUAUUCCUUGGAGCAUGCCUGUUUGAGUAUCAUGAAAUCUUCAAAGUAAAUCUUUUGUUAACUCAAUUGGUUUCUACUUUGGUAUUGGAGGUCUUUGCAGCUUCACACCUGCUACUCUUUGUUCAUUAGCUGGAUCUCAGUGUUAUGCUUGGUUCCACUCGGCGUGAUAAGUUAUCUAUCGCUGAGGACACUGUAAAAGGUGGCCAAGGUAAAUGCAGAUGAACCGCUUCUAAUAGUCCAUUGACUUGGACAAUACUUUUAUGAUCUGAUCUCAAAUCAGGUAGGACUACCCGCUGAACUUAAGC